This 444-nucleotide long non-coding RNA is filed under the name Ananas comosus (pineapple). RNAcentral's name for it is "long non-coding RNA (ACOM_LNC003811)". The record is from RNAcentral. Lineage: Eukaryota; Viridiplantae; Streptophyta; Magnoliopsida; Poales; Bromeliaceae.
UACCCACUGGGAACCAUGAAAUUGGUUCUCACCCCACGUUGUUUUGGGGUAUUACAGGUUCGCACGUGAACGGCGCGGCGGCGCGAGGAAAGGGCGUAGCUCAGUAGAUAGCGCCCUACCCAGAGACCGAGGUAGCAGUACCCUGAGGCAGCCUAGCUUAGGGGACUAAAGGGAAAUGAAAAGAACACAAUGUAUGAAACUGUAAUAAGUAAAUGAUGCAAUAACUUAGAUUGUAUUUGGAGGAAUCAAAUGAGAACUGUGAUGUAAAAAUGUAUGAAUGUAAAUGUAUGUAAUAACAUAGGAUGUGUUAUGUUGUUGAUACCUUCAUUAUGCAAUCUGUUUGUUAAGUACUGUUCCUGGUUGGAACCUUUGUAUUAUAUUGAUUGCGAUGCCUUGAACGUACAGGGGAGACUCUGUCCGCAGUACAGGGAAAACCCUGUCCGU